Molecule: ribosomal RNA, 251 nt
Filed under: uncultured bacterium
Lineage: Bacteria
Description: partial 16S ribosomal RNA
Rfam family: Bacterial small subunit ribosomal RNA
Source: RNAcentral
UACGGAGGAUCCAAGCGUUAUCCGGAUUAUUGGGUUUAAAGGGUGCGUAGGCGGCCUGUUAAGUCAGGGUGAAAGACGGUAGCUCAACUAUCGCAGUGCCCUUGAUACUGAUGGGCUUGAAUUGACUAGAGGUAGGCGGAAUGUGACAAGUAGCGGUGAAAUGCAUAGAUAUGUCACAGAACACCGAUUGCGAAGGCAGCUUACUAUGGUCUUAUUGACGCUGAGGCACGAAAGCGUGGGGAUCAAACAGG